UACAGAGGUCUCAAGCGUUGUUCGGAUUCAUUGGGCGUAAAGGGCUCGUAGGCUGCGGGGCAAGUCGGGUGUGAAAUCUCAGAGCUCAACUCUGAAACUGCACUCGAUACUGCUUUGCUUGAGGACUGGAGAGGAGAUUGGAAUUCACGGUGUAGCAGUGAAAUGCGUAGAUAUCGUGAGGAAGACCAGUGGCGAAGGCGGAUCUCUGGACAGUUCCUGACGCUGAGGCGCGAAGGCCAGGGGAGCAAACGGG
This 253-nucleotide ribosomal RNA is filed under the name uncultured bacterium. RNAcentral's name for it is "partial 16S ribosomal RNA". It matches the Rfam family "Bacterial small subunit ribosomal RNA", at positions 524 to 776 of the family's 1533-position model. The record is from RNAcentral.